This is a long non-coding RNA of Mus musculus (house mouse), 728 nucleotides long. RefSeq annotates it as predicted gene, 54057. The transcript has 2 exons. The record is from RefSeq and is a predicted model, not a curated record. NCBI's taxonomy places the organism in Eukaryota, Metazoa, Chordata, Mammalia, Rodentia, Muridae.
AAAAGUGGGGAGGGUCAGUUGUGUGGGCUCAGGCAGAUGGACCUAUGGGUAGCAACACCUUUAGUAUAAAUAGCCAAUAUUCCCCAGUGUUACAGGAGGUCUCCCUUAUUGAAAGCCCACUUCUGGAAACUUGCAUUGAGAUCAUUCUCUUCCUGGUUGUCAGUAUGAGGCAGGAUUUACAAGGUCUCCAGAGCAAAGAAGUCACAAGAGGUCUCUAUCCCCAGUGAACACUUUUCAGGUACAAUGUGGUCUCCUGAAGUCUCUUUUAUCAUGUGUUUGUGUUUUCUUGACUCCUGUAAGAAGUGACCACAGGCCAAGUGGCUUAAAAGAACAGAAAAUUGAUAUCUCACAGGUCUGGAGGCCAGGAGAAUAAAACCAGAAGGUGAACAAGGUUAUGCUUCAUCUGCAAGCUGUACAAGAGUAUCCUUCAUGUGUCUUAUAGUUGUGGGUAGCUCAGUUGUUUCUUGGCCUGUGGUUAUAUCAAUCUAGUUGAGUAAUAAGGUACUUGUUACUGGGCUCAUGGCCCACCUAUAUAACUUGCAGUGAUCUCAAUUUGAGAGCCUUGAUUUUUGUGAGACAGGUUCUUACUAUGUAGAGCAAGCUGGCCUUGAAUUCGCAGAGAUUGUGCCUUCUAAGUGCUGGGAUUAAAGACAUGCACCACUAUGCCUGGCUUGAAAUCCUUAGUUUAACUACAUCUGUAAAGACCAUUUUUUCCAAGUAAAAAAAAA